This 103-nucleotide microRNA precursor is filed under the name Marmota monax (woodchuck). The record is from RNAcentral. Lineage: Eukaryota; Metazoa; Chordata; Mammalia; Rodentia; Sciuridae.
AGUGGGAUAGCUGGGUCAAAUGGGGGUUCCAUUCCAAGUUUUCUAAGGAAUCUCCAUACUACUUUCCAAAUUGGUUGCAUCAAUGUGCAGUCCCACCAGCAAC